UGCCACUAUGGUUUUGGAAAAUAAUUGCAGCAGCUUUUGUGCCAAGAAUCACAGGGCAUGCAUGUGCUCAACUUCGUUAAGUCAAUGAGCUAUCUGAGUUAAUCAGUUCCCUCGAGCCCCACUCCUGGAAACUGUGUCUUUUCCACAAGACACAGUUGUGACAUCAGCACUUUCAUCUGUUGGCUGUUGAAAUAUGCAUUUUGAAGUAGAAGGAGAUUAUUUUAAAUUCUUUCUGUUGUUUGAUAGCUCUGCAGUAGUUUCACUGCUCAUCAUGAAGCAUCAUGAGGUCAUCUGAUAUCUAACCACAUUCUAAGUCCAGUACAAUCAUGUGACCUGCUCCCCUCUCCAGCUGCCUCUGGAAGUGCAGUCAAACAUCUGAUCAGGCCUCAUGUUUACAAUGGAUUUAUGACAUUUGGAUUUUAGGAAAUGGUUGCUGGAACUCAAGGCUUUGGAACUUGCUGAUUACUAAAGGACAAAGAAUAGAGAUGCAUAAAGAAGGUGGAGCAGAUUUGGAACAGCAGCUGACUGACAGCACAUACAGGGGACACCGCAGGGAAGAAGUUUCUACAGGGUUUCUAUUGAUGGCCUAGAAUAAUGCAUGGGCUGCAUUGAGUUGAAAGACUAAUCUAAAAAUAGGACUAGUCUUUCUUCUGCACUGAUCAGCAGACACAGGCAUAGCCAAGGAUUUUAAGGAGGAUGACGCAUCUGGCAACAACAGAAAGAGAAAGGUUUGUUUUGUCUAAAAGAAUGCAGUGGAUAAACUGCUUAGGAGCAAGCAACACAUUGAAAAAUGGGAUUGUUUGAUUGGAAUGUUGCUAAGAUCAAUACCUGUAUGGGCUCUUCAAUCUGUCACUCAUAGUUAAUUUUGGCCACAUAAAUUGAAGUCACCCAGGAGCUAAUUGAACUAACCUUCAGUUUUCUCUUGAAUAUUAUCUGAGGUUUUUACUCUAUUCUUGCUGUUAUGCAUUGAGAAUACCAUUAGUAGUACUAGAGGAAAAAAACAUAUACAUCAUCCUCUCAUUACUGAUGCAGAAUCAUUGAUAGAGGAAGCUACAACACAG
This 1061-nucleotide long non-coding RNA is filed under the name Coturnix japonica (Japanese quail). Its description in RNAcentral is "lncRNA (ENSCJPG00005017626.1)". Lineage: Eukaryota; Metazoa; Chordata; Aves; Galliformes; Phasianidae. The record is from RNAcentral.